Dendroctonus ponderosae (mountain pine beetle) is the source of this 527-nucleotide RNA transcript. RefSeq lists it as uncharacterized. The record is from RefSeq and is a predicted model, not a curated record. The transcript is spliced from 3 exons. NCBI's taxonomy places the organism in Eukaryota, Metazoa, Arthropoda, Insecta, Coleoptera, Curculionidae.
ACAACAAUGCCGGCAGUCCGAUUGUAUUACGGACGAAAUUGGGAGAAUUUCGGUUUGAUCCCUUUGCUAGUCGACAAAGCGUCGAUCAAACAGGGCCAACGAGUGACCGGCAUCGCGACGCAAGCGCCGUUAUUUUCGACGUUCGCCGCGCCGAGACGCGUCUCGUAGCCACAACCACCUGUGAGAUUCGCCUACACAACCAGUAGUUCUGUGCGAAAUAACGAAGUUUUUCCGCUAUUUUCUGGCUUAUCGGUCAGUUUUUUCACUAAACUAGUGUUCAACCAGUGGUACUGCGUGUGUAAGUGUUUGGAAACUCUGUACCAAGAGGAUUUCGAAGGACGGCCGCUUCUAUUUGGAACCAUUUGGUAGAGUUCUCGACCGGAUUCCCCUGCCACGCUGCCCAUCGCCUGGAUGGUCCAUAGGAGAUUGAGACUGGAAGUUUUGGUUCGCGCCGACAGGAUUUGAUGCGCUACAAGCUGGAUAUGAUGGUAAGUUUGCCGGUUGUUUAUUUCGUUUCUUUAUAAAGG